AUGAUGGUGCCAUACAACAGAACGGUUGUCUGUGCAGAACAAUGGCAGAUGCUGCUCUGCUUCGAGUACCUGCCCAAAGGAUCUUGUCGAGUUCAGUGGACCAUGCGUUAUGAAAUAAUUAAGGGGAUAUGCGAGGGUGUACAUUACCUUCAUCAGCAGCGUAUUAUUCACAUGGGCCUCAAACCUCAGAAUGUACCAUUGGAUGAUAACAUGGUGCACAGAAUUGCGGAUUUUGGUCUAUCACGGCGCUUAAGCGAAAGCAAGAGUCGUGCUAUUACUAAAAACACGAUUGGGUCGAAGGGAUAUGUGGCACUAGAAUUUAUAAAUAAGGGAGAAAUCACCUUCAGGACAGACAUAUACUUUGGGAGUUAUAAUUAUGGAUAUCCUUAUGGGACUUAA
Molecule: ribosomal RNA, 399 nt
Filed under: Triticum aestivum (bread wheat)
Lineage: Eukaryota; Viridiplantae; Streptophyta; Magnoliopsida; Poales; Poaceae
Description: partial small subunit ribosomal RNA
Source: RNAcentral